AGCAGCCGCGGUAAUUCCAGCUCCAAUAGCGUAUAUUAAAGUUGUUGCAGUUAAAAAGCUCGUAGUUGAAUUUCGGGAUUAGUGCGCUGGUCAUGCCUUUGGUAUGUACUGGUGUUACUGGUUCCUACCUUCUGAAGAACCGUCAUGUCAUUCAUUUGGUGUGGCGGGGAAUCAGGACUGUUACUUUGAAAAAAUUAGAGUGUUUAAAGCAGGCUCGCGCUUGAAUACAUUAGCAUGGAAUAAUGAAAUAGGACGUUUGACCCUAUUUUGUUGGUUUCUAGGAUCGACGUAAUGAUUAAUAGGGAUAGUUGGGGGCAUUAGUAUUCAAUUGUCAGAGGUGAAAUUCUUGGAUUUAUUGAAGACUAACUACUGCGAAAGCAUUUUGCCAAGGAUGUUUUCAUUAAUCAAGAACGAAAGUUAGGGGAUCGAAGACGAUCAGAUACCGUCGUAGUCUUAACCAUAAACUAUGCCGACUAGGGAUCGGAUGAUGUUAUUUUUAAUGACUCAUUCGGCGCCUUAC
Molecule: ribosomal RNA, 520 nt
Filed under: uncultured Glomus
Lineage: Eukaryota; Fungi; Glomeromycota; Glomeromycetes; Glomerales; Glomeraceae
Description: SSU rRNA
Rfam family: Eukaryotic small subunit ribosomal RNA
Source: RNAcentral